Molecule: ribosomal RNA, 434 nt
Filed under: uncultured bacterium
Lineage: Bacteria
Description: bacterial SSU rRNA
Rfam family: Bacterial small subunit ribosomal RNA
Source: RNAcentral
GAACGAACGCUGGCGGCAUGCCUAACACAUGCAAGUCGAACGAAGCCUUCGGGCUUAGUGGCGCACGGGUGCGUAACACGUGGGAAUCUGCCCUUCGGUUCGGAAUAACAGUUAGAAAUGACUGCUAAUACCGGAUGAUGACGUAAGUCCAAAGAUUUAUCGCCGAAGGAUGAGCCCGCGUAGGAUUAGGUAGUUGGUAGGGUAAUGGCCUACCAAGCCGACGAUCCUUAGCUGGUCUGAGAGGAUGAUCAGCCACACUGGGACUGAGACACGGCCCAGACUCCUACGGGAGGCAGCAGUGGGGAAUAUUGGACAAUGGGCGAAAGCCUGAUCCAGCAAUGCCGCGUGAGUGAUGAAGGCCUUAGGGUUGUAAAGCUCUUUUACCAGGGAUGAUAAUGACAGUACCUGGAGAAUAAGCUCCGGCUAACUCCGUG